GCCGGGCGCAGUGGCGUGUGCCUGUACUCCCAGCUACUCAGGAGGCUGAGGCUAGAGGAUCUCUUGAGUCCAGGAGUUCUGGGCUGUAGUGCGCUGUGCCGAUCAGGUGUCCGCACUAAGUUCAGCAUCAGUAUGGUGACCUCCCAGGAUCGGGGGACCACAAGGUUGCCUAAGGAGGGGUACCAGCCCAGGUCCGAAACAGAGCAAGUCAAAACUCCCGUGCUGAUCAGUAGCGGGAUCGCACCUGUGAAUAGCCACUGCACUCCAGCCUGGGCAACAUAGUGAGACCCCAUCUCU
RNAcentral lists this signal recognition particle RNA (297 nucleotides) under Aotus nancymaae (Ma's night monkey). RNAcentral describes it as "Metazoan signal recognition particle RNA (ENSANAG00000008704.1)". It matches the Rfam family "Metazoan signal recognition particle RNA". From Rfam's summary of the family: The signal recognition particle (SRP) is a universally conserved ribonucleoprotein. It is involved in the co-translational targeting of proteins to membranes. Lineage: Eukaryota; Metazoa; Chordata; Mammalia; Primates; Aotidae. The record is from RNAcentral.